CCUGGCCCAGGAAGCUAAGCCUUCCAUAUUCAUCAUUUAAUUUACCCAGUUUGAAUGCCUGCCCAUCUCCGAAAAUGGCGCUGUUCAGAUCUGCUUAUUUGCAGCUUAGCAUCCUCUGUAGCAUUCAACAUUGUAAAGGCUGAAAUAUAGAAGUCGAAAUGUUCUGUAUCAGGAUAGGCCAGGAUCUUCCAUGAUAACAAACAACCACCAAGUCUUAUGGCUUAAAAGAAUACCAUUUAUUUCUCACUCAUACUGCAUCUCCAUCUCUGCCAUGCUGGGAGUUCUGUCUCCCGUUGUCCUUAGGGACCAAGGCCAAUAGGGCAGUCACUAUCUAGAGCAGGGCUGGCCGCCAUGAUGGAGGAAAAGUGGGGAAGGUAAAUCAUGCCUUGGUCCCUAACGCUUCUGCCCCAGGGGGAUGGAAACUGUUUGGAUCAAAGCAAGUCACAGGGCUACACCAAGCAUCAAGGAAGUGAGGAGGGCAAUUUUACCAUGUGCCCAGAAGUACCGGAAAUAUUUGAUUGCAGCACUAAUGCCUGCCAUGGACAGUGGGAUAACAAGACAGACAGCACUUGUCAUUUCUAGAAUUGCCCUCAUUACAAGAAAUAGGCAUUUCGUUUUCCCUUCUUUAGAAUAUCUUUGUCCAUUCCACAAGUCUGCCUUGAGGGCUCACCAUGCAAAGAACUAUAAUGUACAGUGUUGUGUUAAGGCAUACAGGGAAAAAAAUAGGAUCUUGCUCAGUUAUUCUGAACCUGAAAUUGCAAUUUUAUUUCUCAAAGGGCAUAGAUUUGAUUUUACUUAUUCAGUCCAUCACUUGUUCAGCAAAUAAAUACUGAACACUGUGUUUUGCUCUGAUGACAACCAGUUCUCUCAUUCUCCAGCACCAACUGGGCAUCCAACAGUUUUGUUCAGUUCUGACAAUACCUAAAGAUGGAACAGACAUCAUAGGUCAAGGGCUCAGUCCUGCAAGACAGCCCCACCCCCGCCUCCAGAUACCAGCUGCAAAUGGGGUGCCCAGGCUACACAUACUUCUGUGUAGUCAGCUUCACCUUGGAGGUUUGCACAAUCCCCACCUUUGGGUCAGUAGUUUGCUAGAGUGACUCACAGAACACAAGCCAAUACUUUACUUGAUGAUUUUCAGUUUAUUUUAAAGGACUCAACUCAGGGACAGCCGAAUGGAAGAGAUGCAGAGGGCAAGGAUGGGAGAGGGAGGGUGCAGAGCUUCCAUUCCAUUCCCUUUCUGGGCUUCUUACCCUCCAGUACAUUGAUGUGUUUGCUAUCUGGAAGUCCCUCGCACUCUUUCAUUUAGGGAUUUUAUGGAGGUUUCAUUAUGUUGACAUGACUGAUGAAAUUAUUGGCCAUUGGUGAUUGGACUCAAUCUUUAGCCCCUGUCCCCAGGCUGGAGGUUGGAGGCAGAAGUGAGAAUUCUAACCCUUUAAUCUAAUAGUUUUUCUGGCAACCAGCUCCCAUCCUGAAGUUCUCUAGCACUAGCACCUCCUCCCCCAUGAGUCAUUUUAUUAGCAUACAAAACAAAUAAUAAAUUCUAGGGGUUUUAGGCACUCUGUGCUAGAAAACUGGGAGAAAGACCACAUAUUUAUUUAUUUUUUUAUCAUAUCACAAACACCUGUGUGCCAAGCUGCGUGCAAGGCACUGGGGGUACAGUGAUGAUGGAAUAGACAGUCCCUGUUCUGGUGGACUUCACAUUAGGCAAACUUAUUGAAGGGGAGAUCAGCCUAAAGAAGUGUCAGUGAAAGCUGAAAGCAGAAAUAAAUAAAACAUAACCUCUAUUCUCAUAAGCAUUUACCUCCAUAUGUGAAUAAGAAGUUAACUGGGAGCGAGGAGAUGCUGGGUGUGGGAUAGAGAUGAAAAUGGGAGAAGUUAACACUGAAUUUCUUAUGACCUGAAUCACUUUUAAUCCCAUCUGUUAGACGUGGUCUAAGGUUGGCACAUUUUUCUUAUCAAAGCACAGACACGUGCUGGAUGCAGAGGCCAGGAAAGUAUAGCCGAAUAGAGAAGAUGCUUUUAAAUACCAACCCAGAGCAAUCUAGGUUAUACAGUUUAUGCAAGAUAAUAUAUGCAUAUACAGAUACAGAUUAAUGAACACAUGAAUUGAUAAGAGCUUAAAAAAUAUAAAUUAAUAGAUGAUUAGGUAUAAAAUAGCUAUAUAGAGAGCCUUAUUAAAAUGCUUACAAGAGUUUUGAAUUUAGGAGAUUUGCAGUAUGAAUUCUUACGGAAAUCUUAAAGCUUCCUGUGAGAACUACUUUAAAAAAAAAUCUUGAAAAGACAUACUUUUCAGAAUGCUCACAUCUUGUCACUUUUGUUCUGAUUCUUCUUGCCCUUUUUGACUUCUUUACAUCUCUAAAUAUGAAGUUAUUCAUUUAGUUCUGCUGCAGUUAUAACCAUGACGGUUUUACUAAAAUUGAUCUAUUCACAAUUAAUUUUUCUCUGUGACCACAUAAUUAAGACAUGUGGAGGUUUUCUUUGAGCUUGAUAAGGAAGAGCAUGUUUAGGAUAUUUCACUGCCCUGUAGGGGUAUUUUAACUUUUUGGGUAAACCCCUCCCUGUUAUAAAACAUUAAUAGUUAUAAUGAGGUUGGAUGAAAUUGGAUCAAACUUGUGAGUAAAAGAAGAUGCCCCAAUCUGUGGUUCAAACAUUCCAAACUUUCCAGAAUACAAGCAGAUAUAGAAUCAUUUUCCUCAAGAUCUUAUGUUGAAUUUUUUGCAUCAUCAGUGUAGUUUCUAAAACAUUGGUUCCAUUUUUGAGGCCAAGAUCACAAAACAGAAGAAAAAAAGUCAGACUAAGGUAAAGAAGGCUAUGUUUGGGAGUUCCCACUGUGGCACAGCAGAUUAAGGAUCUGGCAUUGUCUCCACAGUGGCUUACGUUGCUGCUGAGGUACAGGUUUGAUCCCCAGCCUGGAGCAGUGGGUUAAGGAUCCAGCAUUGCUGCAGCCAUGGAAUAGAGAUCAGCUGCAGCUCGGAUUCGAUUCCUGGCCUGGGAACUUCCUGAUGCUGCAG
This 3011-nucleotide long non-coding RNA is filed under the name Sus scrofa (pig). Its description in RNAcentral is "lncRNA (ENSSSCG00055019257.1)". Lineage: Eukaryota; Metazoa; Chordata; Mammalia; Artiodactyla; Suidae. The record is from RNAcentral.